GUCUCGGUCUUGUCUCGGUCCAGAUACACUCUGUUCUUGGUGAUUACUUGGUCUUGGUUUAGGUGGUGUUGACUACAACACCGCUGAACUCAGUGGU
Long non-coding RNA from Sander lucioperca (pikeperch), 97 nucleotides. RefSeq lists it as uncharacterized. The record is from RefSeq and is a predicted model, not a curated record. Lineage: Eukaryota; Metazoa; Chordata; Actinopteri; Perciformes; Percidae. The transcript has 3 exons.